This 347-nucleotide unclassified non-coding RNA is filed under the name soil metagenome. RNAcentral describes it as "partial contains 5.8S ribosomal RNA, internal transcribed spacer 2, and large subunit ribosomal RNA". The stretch from base 1 to 120 matches the Rfam family "5.8S ribosomal RNA", at positions 35 to 154 of the family's 154-position model. The record is from RNAcentral.
GAUGAAGAACGUAGCAAAAUGCGAUAAGUAAUGUAAAUUGCAGAAUUCAGUGAAUCAUCGAAUCUUUGAACGCACAUUGCGCCCGCUGGUAUUCCGGCGGGCAUGCCUGUUCGAGCGUCAUUUCAACCCUCAAGCCCCCGGGUUUGGUGUUGGGGAUCGGCUCUGCCCUUCUGGGCGGUGCCGCCCCCGAAAUACAUUGGCGGUCUCGCUGCAGCCUCCAUUGCGUAGUAGCUAACACCUCGCAACUGGAACGCGGCGCGGCCAUGCCGUAAAACCCCAACUUCUGAAUGUUGACCUCGGAUCAGGUAGGAAUACCCGCUGAACUUAAGCAUAUCAAUAGCGGAGGA